RNAcentral lists this ribosomal RNA (752 nucleotides) under uncultured bacterium. Its description in RNAcentral is "bacterial SSU rRNA". It matches the Rfam family "Bacterial small subunit ribosomal RNA", at positions 9 to 756 of the family's 1533-position model. The record is from RNAcentral.
GAGUUUGAUCCUGGCUCANGAUGAACGCUAGCGGCAGGCCUAACACAUGCAAGUCGAACGGUAACAUUGGUGCUUGCACCAGAUGACGAGUGGCGCACGGGUGCGUAACGCGUAUACNAUCUACCUUUUACAGAGAGAUAGCCCAGAGAAAUUUGGAUUAAUACCUCAUAGUAUUGUUUUAUGGCAUCAUAAGACAAUUAAAGAUUUAUCGGUAAAAGAUGAGUAUGCGUUCUAUUAGUUAGUUGGAGUGGUAACGGCACCCCAAGACAGCGAUAGAUAGGGGCCCUGAGAGGGGGAUCCCCCACACUGGUACUGAGACACGGACCAGACUCCUACGGGAGGCAGCAGUGAGGAAUAUUGGACAAUGGAGGCAACUCUGAUCCAGCCAUGCCGCGUGCAGGAAGACUGCCCUAUGGGUUGUAAACUGCUUUUAUACAGGAAGAAACCGCUCUACGUGUAGAGCUCUGACGGUACUGUAAGAAUAAGGAUCGGCUAACUCCGUGCCAGCAGCCGCGGUAAUACGGAGGAUCCAAGCGUUAUCCGGAAUCAUUGGGUUUAAAGGGUCCGUAGGUGGAUAAUUAAGUCAGGGGUGAAAGUCUGCAGCUCAACUGUAGAAUUGCCUUUGAUACUGGUUAUCUUGAGUUAUUAUGAAGUAGUUAGAAUAUGUAGUGUAGCGGUGAAAUGCAUAGAUAUUACAUAGAAUACCAAUUGCGAAGGCAGAUUACUAAUAAUCAACUGACACUGAUGGACGA